Long non-coding RNA from Loxodonta africana (African savanna elephant), 7143 nucleotides. RefSeq lists it as uncharacterized. Lineage: Eukaryota; Metazoa; Chordata; Mammalia; Proboscidea; Elephantidae. The transcript is spliced from 5 exons. The record is from RefSeq and is a predicted model, not a curated record.
GGCGCGCUCGGGCUCCACGGCGCAGGGGCGGGCCCUGUUCCCGGAAGCAGCUGCAGCGCCCUCGUGGCGCGGUGGUUCGUGGCUUCGCUGCUAACCGACAAGUUUUGGGUUCGAAUCCCCAGCCGCUCCCCGGGGACGAGUGUGACCGGGUUGGCAGGAGGCUCUGCUCUGUCUUAUAGGGCUCUAUGAGACCUUUUCUUUUCUUUUUAAUGAGGUACGUUUAUUUAUCUGCCAGUCCUUUGCUGUGGAACGGAGACCUUUUGAAUUCGGGUUCUUUGGAGUUCAUCAGUAUAUCUCCCUAAACCACACUCAUAAUGCGUUGUGCAUUAUUGCGAGUUUUCAUUUCUUCAGUGUAGAGUAAGAACUUGAAAGAUACUGUGGAGUGAAACAAGUGUAGAAUUCUAGAUUUUUACAGGGUUUUUUUUUUUUUAACCCCUUGCCCAAACCUAAUUUGACAGCGGUUUUUGGUGAUGGCACUUCAUUGUAACUUGUAUUUAAUCAACUUUUCUAAUACCGAGUAAAAUUACGAAAUCACAGGGACCAGCACAGCUGACACACACAUGGGACCAGUCAGGAACUCCUGGUGAGCAGACAGCUCACCUUGUGAGCGCACCAGUCCCCAGGUGCGUUAGGAGGUAGCCGCUUACAGCCACAAAGGGUCAGCUCGCCCUGGGCUGUAAUCACUUGGUCUGACGGACGGAAUGGACAAGGUUGGUUAAUCCAGUUGAGUUAGUCAAGUGGAGGUCACUUAAGGGAGCUUCUGUUCCACUUUUCUCCAGAUUCCCAGGAUAGAAACUUCCGUUUCAGUACACGUACCGCGUUUGUGUAUAGGAGCAAAUUUAUAGGAUAAAUUUCUAGCUUUGUUCCUUUUUAUUUGCUCAAACACUAUGGACUACAUACUGUGUGAUAAACCCUAUGCUAAAACCUUAAGGACUCAAUGAUAAGACGUGGUUACUGUCCUUGAGUAGCUCAGUAUAGAAGUAUAAUACUCAAAGCUGCAACCAGAGUCGCAGCUACUGUAUAUAUAACUGAAACAUUUUUUACAGUCACCGCUAUUGCACGUACCCAUGUUAAAAGCAGGGCAACUAUUAGCCAUUAGAGAAAUGCACAUUGAAACUACAGUGAGAUAUGAUCUCACCCCGACAUGAUUGGCACUAAUAGAACAGAAAAUAAGAAAUGUUGGAGAGGCUGUGGGGAGAUUGGAACUCCUGUGCACUGCUGGUGGGAAUGGAAAAUGGUACAACCAUUUUGGAAAACCAUAUGGCGCCUCUUUUAAAGCUAGAAAUAGAAAUACCUCUAUAGAAGAACCAUAUGAUCCAGCAAUCCCACUCCUAGGGAUAUAUCCUAGAGAAGUAAGAGCUGUUACAUGAAUAGACAUAUGCACACCCAUGUUCACUGCAGCAUUGCUGACAAUAGCAAAAAUAUGGAAACAAGUUUCCAUCAAAAAAUGAAUAGGUAAACUAUGGUGCAUACACACGAUGGGGUACUAUGCAAUGAUAAGGAACAAUGAUGAAUCUGUAAAAUAUCUCACAACGUGGACAAAUCUGGAGGGCAUUAUGCUGAAUGAAAAAAGCCAAUUAAAAAAGGCAAAUAUUGUAUGAGACCACUGGUAUAAAAACUCAAGAAAAGGUUGACACACAAAAAACCAUCUUUCAAGGCUACAAGGGAAGGGAAAUCACUAAUUAGGUAGUAGACAAAUGUUAACUUUGGUGAAGGGAAAGACAAAACAAUAUAGGGGAGGGAGGUUAGCACAAGUUGACCAAGACAAAGUCGUAGAAACUUCCUAGACACAUCCAAAAAACCCUGAGGGACUGAGUUACUGGGGCUGAAGGCUGGGGACCAUAGUCUCAGGGGACGUCUAGGUCAAUUGGCAUAACAUAGUUCAUAUAUACUAUGAACUAUGUUCCUAAAAACCCCCACGUGUCAGUUUGUUGUACUGUGGGGACUUGUGUGUUGCUGUGAUGCUGGAAGCUAUGCCACCAGUAUUCAGAUAUCAGCAGGGGCUCCCAUGGCAGUCAGGUUUCAACUGAGUUUCCAGACUAAGAAAGACUAGGAAGAAGGACCCAGCAGUCUACUUCUGAAAAGAAUUAGCCAGUGAAAACCUUAUGAAUAGCAGAGGAACAUUGUCUGAUAUCGUGCUGGAAGAUGAGCCCUCCAGAUUGGAAGGCACUCAAAAGACAACUGGGGAAGAGCUGCCUCCUCAGUCAACCAUAAUGGCACGAAUGGAGUCAAGCUUUCAGGACCUUCAUUUGCUGAUGUGGCAUGACUCAAGAGAAGAGACAGCUGCAAACAUCCAUUAAUAAUCAGAACAUGGCAUGUCUGAAGUAUGAAUCUAGGAAAAUUGGAAAUUGUCAAAGAUGGAACGCAUAAACGUUGACAACCUAGGCAUUAGCUGAAAUGGAGUGGUAUUGGCCAUUUUGAAUCAGACAAUCAUAUGGUCUACUAUGCUGGGAAUGACAACUUGAGGAGAAAUGAUGUUGCAUUCUUCAUCAAAAAGAACAUUUCAAGAUGUAUCCUGAAGUACAACACUGAUAGGAUAAUAUCCAUACACCUACAAGGAAGACCAGUUAAUACUAUUAUUCAAAUUUAUGCACCAACCACUAAGGCCAAAGAUGAAGAAACUGAAGAUAUUUACCAGCUUCUGCAGUCCGAAAUUGAUUGAACAUGCAAUCAGGAUGCAUUGAUAAUUACUGGUGAUUGGAAUGCAAAAGUUGGAAACAAAGAAGAAGGAUCAGUAGUUGGAAUAUAUGGCCUUCGUGAUAGAAAUGAUGCCGGAGAUCGCAUGAUUGAAUUUUGCAAGACCAACUACUUCUUCGUUGCAAAUACCUUCUUUCACCAACAUAAACAGCGACUAUACACAUGGACCCCGCCAGAUGGAAUAGACAGGAAUCAAGUCAACUACAUCUGUGGAAAGAGAUGAUGGAAAACCUCAACUACUAAUCUAAAUGUUGGCAGUUCUAACCCACCCAGCAGAUGUGCAGAAGAAAGGCCUGGCGAUCUGUUUCUGUAACGACUGUAGCCAAGAAGACCCUAUGGCGCAGUUCUACAGCUUGAGGGUUGAGCUCUAAACAUCUCUGCUUCAGUUACACUGGUUAUGCACAGAUGUUUAACUCAGUGGUUCCCAAAUACCUACUGAGUCAGAAUCUCUAGGGGGUUCCCCGGGAACCUGAACCUUAAAGCGAUAUGGAACCCACUGGAAUUAUUUCUUUGCAAACUUGGGAGAGAAUUAAAGAAAGUUUAUUUAUUGACAUUCUCUUUCGUCGAGUGAACAGAGAAACAUUUUUAAAAUCCUCCAUCUCAAACAUUAUGUUAGUAUUCUUGUUGCAUAGAAUAGAAUGUAAUUGUUGGAUUUAUGAUACGUAAAUUAAACUUGUUAUAAAAAUAUUCACCAUAAAGUUAACGAUUAAAAGCUAGUUAAAUGUAAAAAUUAUAUGAAAUGGUUACUUUUAGGUUCUGGUGGAUGGUCUGGGAGGCAGUAUGCCCAGGUGUCUUUCAGAAGCGAUCUGGACUUUGUAGGACAAGAACAAAAACCUUCAAGGCUCCAGGCUGGUUGGUUGUUUCUGAGUUGAGUUCUUUAUCUGCUCAAACUUCCAAGGGCAGGAUUGUGGUGAAAUACAAGUCACAGGAAGGGAGAAAUUGAGCACAAAAAAGGGAAACGGGGGAGAGAAGAAGCUAGGGAGGUAAGUUGGGAGGAAGCAAAACAUGUAUAGGAAUAUCCGUCGGGAUAGGUUAAUUAUUUGUAGUAACAAACGGCCCCAAAAUCUCAAGGAUUUUCUCAAGAUAUUUAUUUCUCAGUCGAGCUGCAGUGGAACGUUGUUGAUCACCACGGCAGAGAGAAAAGAGAACAUUGUGAACGACCAGCUCUUAAAGCUUCUGCCCGGAAGUGGACACAGGUCAAUAAAAGGCAUACGGAUCGUAAAGGAAGAAAAACCUUCCCUGUCUGAGCAUGACGUGAUUGUCUGUGAAGAGAAGCCCAAGAAAUCUACCAAAGUAAAAACAAGAACUACUUCCUAGAACUGGUGAGUUAAGCAUGGUUGCGGAAUACAAGGUCCAACACAUAAAAAUCAAUUCUAUUUCUAUAUACUAGAAAUGAAAGGAGCCCUGGUGGCGCAAUGGUUAAGUGCUCCACUGCUAACCAAAAGGUAGGCAGAUCGAACCCACCAGCAGUUCCGGGAGAAAAAAGACCUGGGAACUGUCUCCCGUAAAGAUAACAGCCUAGGAAAUCCUAUGGGGCAGCUCUACUGUGUCCUAUAGGGUUGCUAUGAGUUGGGAUCAACUUGACAGCACUCAACAAAAACAUACUGGUAAUGAACAAUAGGAAUUCAAAUAAAAUAAAAAAAAAACAUUUACAAUAGCUUCAAAAUAAUAAAAUACUUAGGUAUAAACUUAUCAAAACAUGAUCUCACUAUUCUAAAGUGGCAACGAUUUUAUUUUCUCUGGGUUCCCCUGUAUAAAUUAUUUUAUAUACAGUCAGGAGCUACGUAACGUCCUCUACGUCUGUUGUCCCAUAAGGUUAUAGCAGAGUUCAGAAAUCUCUAUCAGAGAACAGGACACAGCAGUUGUAACCGCACAGCCAAUGCCACAGCUUCCCACGCCAACACAUGUAUCCCACGUCUCCUGUAUAUAAAGCGAUUGUGCUACCAGGCAGAUAAUGGUACAGAAUGUGUAUAACCUACAACACGUAUAUCUUGACAGUCAUAACAAAUGCCUGUGGUACUGGGUUACGUAGGUGCUGUACUUCCCAUCGAUUUUUUAAGGUGAACUUUCCCUACUAACAAAUAAAAAGUUUACUGUAUACAGUAUAUGUUUCCACUUGUAGGCAGCAGCAUCCAGUCUCCUGUACUGCGUGUCUCUUGGGUGUUGCAAUGUUCUCUCUCUCUUUAAUUUUCUCUCAAAAAUAUUCCCACGAGGUGCCUCGUGGCUUCCAAAUGCAGCAAAACCAGCACGAGUGAGAGUGCAGCGGGAGGCAAAGAUUUGGAAGGGAAACAAAAGGUUAUUAAACAACAGGGAAUGCCAUUGCCUGCACUUUAGGGUUGUGUUCACACAACAUCCAAACCACAUCGCAUCCUAUUUCUUUUUCACAGAAAGAGUCAUGAAUGUCAAGCAGAGCAUGACUGUCGGCACAACCAUUGACUAUAUUUUUGUAUUAUAUUACACUUAAAAUUUUCUUCUGUAUUGAUAGUGUCACCACAUUUAUUAUUUUAAGGGCUGUCCAAUGUUCUCUCAUGUUGAUGCAUCAGUAUAAUGUAGCUAGAAGAACGUGAGCUUUUUAGACAAGCCUGGGUUCCAAUUCCAGUCCCCAAAUACAAGCAGUGUGGCUCACGGCAGUUAGCCUCUCUCAGCCUCAGCCGUCUGUAACAUACCAAAUUCUCGGGGUUGUUAGAGUUAGAUAAGGAGGUGUAUAUAAAACACCUGGCAUAUGGUAGGUGCCCAAUAAAGCUAUAAUUAAUACCGUAGUUUUAACUUUUCUUCUAUUUGGGGGCAUUUAAGGUUGUUUCUUGGUAGUGCCUUUACCCUGGAGUUAGGGGAUUGUUAUUGCUCCCUUUUGCAGGAUCUGAUCCUCAGACUUUUAGAUCUAGAAACAUUUUCAAGUUCAUCUAGGGUAACUAAGCCUUGGGGGAAUUGACUUUCUGAGGUUGACUUAUAAAUAAAAACGCGAUUUUGUUAACAAACUGAGCAAUACUUGUAUUGGCAGCUUAGAAUGAAUUACCUUUUGCCUUUUUGCUGACAGCACACUCUCUGAUUCCUGCUUUCUGUCUCUGUUUUAGACACCUUGUUGCCCACCCCCCUCCACUUGCCUUGAUCGUGAGCCAUGUAACCUUGACCGUGAACACCAAAACCCCAAACCCACUGCCGUCAAGUCGACUCCAACUCGCAGCAACCGUGUAGGACCGAGUAGAGCUGCCCCAUAGAGUUUCCAAGGAGCACCUGGUGGAUUUGAACUGACGACCUCUUCGUUAGCAGCCAGAAGACCAAAAUGGGUGUCCCAAUAGAGGACUUCACUUCCUCCAAUUGAUCCCAUCAAAACGACAGACAGAGGAACAUACAGCAAACCUGGAUAUUUCCGUUGACGUGAGGCAGAAAACGUCAAGAAUCAAGAAGCUUAAGAGAAACCUCGACCAUCUCAAGCACCUGUGUAACCAGCAGGUCCCUCCCUUUUCUGAACAUUCGAGUUUGUCCCCGGCCACUCUGAGGAGUGAGUAGCCAGCUCCCGGUUUGUUCAGUCUGGUCACUGUCAGUGGUGGACAGCUGUUCUUUGAUGCCCAGAGUUCCACAGGUGAAAGCAUUGCUCUUCAGUAAACCAUACCACGCUCUGAGAGAACCUUUCUCAGACAGAUUCCAUAUCGUUGCAAAGUUGCGUGGGAAAACUUUGUCCAGUAACCAUGCCAGCAUGCUGCUUCACAACACACCCAGAAAGCUGAAAGGAACCUGCCAACCGAACCAGCCUCAAGGGAGAGAUGAGUUAUGACUAACGUCCUUGUGGCCAAUUGUCUGCCCGAAGACGCACGAAGGUCCAGAAGCUUCUCUUUGAAGCACAUUGUUUGCAGUUUGCUGGGAAAACCCUCUGCGCCCACCUCCCACAAGGCAUCUACUGAAAUUCAGUGCCUUUUCCUGAGCCCUUCAUCCUGGUUCCGCAGGCUCCACAGAGAGGAGAGAACAAAUGGUUCUUCAUUCUCUGCCCAACUGGCCUCUGCAACCACGUUCUCAGAACCACUCUUUACACUAGCCAGCCCGACGGCAUGGACAGAGAGGGACAGCCUGACGGCAUGGACAGAGAGGGAGCAGCUGACAGCAUGGACAGAGAGGGAGCAGCUGACGGCAUGGACAGAGAGGGAGCAGCUGACGGCAUGGGCAGAGAGGGACAGCCUGAUGGCAUGGACAGAGGGACAGCCUGAUGGCAUGGACAGAGAAGGACAGCCUGAUGGCAUGGGUGUGUUUCGUUAUGUAUGUAAUAUGUUAGCAUGCUAACACACACAUAUAAAAAAUAAACGUACAUUGGAGAUACAUGCUCGAAUCCCUUUUUUCAUGGUGGUGCAGUCAUUGAGUGCUCAUCUGCUAACCAAAAGGUCAGUCGUUCGAACCCACCAGCUGCUUCCUGAGAGAAAGAUGUGACAGUCUGCUUCCAUGAAGAUCAGAGCCUUG